AAAAGCUUCUAACUUUUUGUAAAGCAAUAAAUUGU
Molecule: transfer RNA, 35 nt
Filed under: Lycini sp. UPOL LF0428
Lineage: Eukaryota; Metazoa; Arthropoda; Insecta; Coleoptera; Lycidae
Description: partial tRNA-Ser
Source: RNAcentral